Molecule: transfer-messenger RNA, 354 nt
Filed under: Verrucomicrobiales
Lineage: Bacteria; Pseudomonadati; Verrucomicrobiota; Verrucomicrobiia
Also listed under: 1 other name
Description: CACIUL01 sp024229495 Standard tmRNA
Rfam family: transfer-messenger RNA
About the family: Bacterial tmRNA, also known as 10Sa RNA or SsrA, is named for its dual tRNA and mRNA-like properties.
Source: RNAcentral
GGGGGCGCUCUGGUUUCGACUGAUAAUGUGAAACCUGGGUCGCAUGUCGAGGAUGAUUUGCUGGCCUCGUAAAAAAGCGGAUCAAAAACCAUAUAAAUGCCGAUUCUAACGAAUUAGCUCUCGCCGCUUAAGGCGACGUCUCGCCCCUGACGCCUGUUAGGGGGACGAGGCGACGACAACAGGCUAGUCCCUUGCCGGGGUGUCCGCGGUGAAGGCCGAAAAUAAACAGGGCAACCGGGGAUGAACGACCUUGUCGGAUGCGGUCGCCAUCUCCAGUAAGAGCACCGAAUAAGCAUGUAGACGCCUAGGCGGAAGGUUAACAGGACAGGGGUUCGACUCCCCUCGCCUCCACUU